RNAcentral lists this transfer RNA (73 nucleotides) under Fasciola gigantica. It matches the Rfam family "tRNA". From Rfam's summary of the family: Transfer RNA (tRNA) molecules are approximately 80 nucleotides in length. Their secondary structure includes four short double-helical elements and three loops (D, anti-codon, and T loops). The record is from Rfam by way of RNAcentral. Lineage: Eukaryota; Metazoa; Platyhelminthes; Trematoda; Plagiorchiida; Fasciolidae.
ACCGCGAUAGCUCAGUUGGCAGAGCAUCUGUCCGGUAAGCGGAGUAUCGCCGGUACGAUGCCAGCUCGCGGCG